AUGUGCACCUCUAAAUGAGAUGGGGGGCUGGGUUUCCGAGAUCUUGAAGCCUUUAACCAGGCCCUUCUUGCAAAACAAGCUUGGCGGAUCUUGGAGUGUCCAGAGUCUUUGUGUGCCCGGGUCCUCAGGGCACGCUAUUUCAAAGAAGAUUCCAUUAUGACCACUACAUGUCCAUCAACCGCCUCAUACACUUUCAAAAGUAUCUUACAUGACUGA
This 216-nucleotide ribosomal RNA is filed under the name Triticum aestivum (bread wheat). RNAcentral's name for it is "partial small subunit ribosomal RNA". Lineage: Eukaryota; Viridiplantae; Streptophyta; Magnoliopsida; Poales; Poaceae. The record is from RNAcentral.